UGAAAAUAAGCCAAAAUCAAAUUUAGAAUAUGACCUUGACCUUUGACCUUGACCUUAUUUUCAUUUUUUUGGACCAAGGAUCUCAAAUCAAAGACCCUAGGUCCUCUAUCACUUAUGGUUUACCAGUUAGAAACGCAUAUCACUUAUAUCAAAUGCAUAAGGGGAAAUAACUCUCAUAUGGAGUCUCCGAUAGCUUCGGUCCAAAUGAAUAUCCUAAUCCUGAAGAUAGUAACGAGCAAUUUGGUAAAAUAAAUUUGUCGUAAUCUUUUACGGUUGCGAAGGAGUAGUGGCCACAAGAAAAACAGUGUUUGGGGAGAUAACUCUUACAACGUUAAAGUAUUUUGUUACGCGGUUGUAAAUUUUUAAAGCGUAUAAACUAUACGAUAUCAUAUUCCAAAUAUCUAAGCGACAUCUUUUGAAACAUCAAUACUACGCAAGAAAAAAAAAUUUAGGCGGAAGAAAAAAAAAAAAA
Molecule: long non-coding RNA, 472 nt
Filed under: Mytilus galloprovincialis (Mediterranean mussel)
Lineage: Eukaryota; Metazoa; Mollusca; Bivalvia; Mytilida; Mytilidae
Source: RNAcentral